This is a long non-coding RNA of Schistocerca gregaria, 444 nucleotides long. RefSeq lists it as uncharacterized. The record is from RefSeq and is a predicted model, not a curated record. NCBI's taxonomy places the organism in Eukaryota, Metazoa, Arthropoda, Insecta, Orthoptera, Acrididae. The transcript has 4 exons.
AUUCUGACUGUGGUGCACUAAGAUCCAGGUUUAUUUAAUACACAGAUGUCGUUUGAAGAGAGUAGCCAAGUUGAUGAAGGUUCCGAGUGUCAAAACUGUAAAAAAAUAAUAAACGGUCAAGAAGAGAUGCAAGUAGAUGGCAAGCCUUUUCAUAAGGAUGGUUGCUUAAAAUGUACUCACUGUUCUAGAAACCUCAUGCCUGGAAACUAUGCAAGCAUAGGGAAUACAUAUUACUGCAAGCCGCAUUUUAAGCAAUUGUUUACGUUGGUUGAUGGCUACGGAGAUUUGCAGGAUGAAAACGGGAACGGUACAGGACUCAAAGGUGUUUGAGUAAUAAAGAGGGUCCAGGUGCUUUUGCCAGUUAUUUUUUAUGUGUACAAAAUUGAAUUAAUGAUAUAAAAAAUCCUCGAAUGACACAUGGUUUAGUUAUGUGUUGCGCGACGA